Molecule: ribosomal RNA, 467 nt
Filed under: uncultured bacterium
Lineage: Bacteria
Description: partial 16S ribosomal RNA
Rfam family: Bacterial small subunit ribosomal RNA
Source: RNAcentral
GACGAACGCUGGCGGCGUGCUUAACACAUGCAAGUCGAACGGAAAGGCUCCAGCUUGCUGGAGUACUCGAGUGGCGAACGGGUAAGUAACACGUGGGUAAUCUGCCCUGCACUCUGGGAUAAGCCUGGGAAACUGGGUCUAAUACUGGAUAUGACCUUUCUCCUCAUGGGGUUUGGUGGAAAGUUUUUCGGUGUAGGAUGAGCCCGCGGCCUAUCAGCUUGUUGGUGGGGUGAUGGCCUACCAAGGCGACGACGGGUAGCCGGCCUGAGAGGGUGAUCGGCCACAUUGGGACUGAGAUACGGCCCAGACUCCUACGGGAGGCAGCAGUGGGGAAUAUUGCACAAUGGGCGGAAGCCUGAUGCAGCGACGCCGCGUGAGGGAUGACGGCCUUCGGGUUGUAAACCUCUUUCAGCAGGGACGAAGCGUAAGUGACGGUACCUGCAGAAGAAGCACCGGCUAACUCUGUG